UACGUAGGGGGCGAGCGUUGUCCGGAUUUAUUGGGCGUAAAGAGCUCGUAGGCGGUUCGAUAAGUCGGACGUGAAAUCUCCACGCUCAACGUGGAGGGGCCGUUCGAUACUGCCGGGCUAGAGUCCGGAAGAGGCGAGUGGAAUUCCUGGUGUAGCGGUGGAAUGCGCAGAUAUCAGGAGGAACACCCAUAGCGAAGGCAGCUCGCUGGGACGGUACUGACGCUAAGGCGCGAAAGCGUGGGGAGCGAACAGG
This 253-nucleotide ribosomal RNA is filed under the name uncultured bacterium. RNAcentral describes it as "partial 16S ribosomal RNA". It matches the Rfam family "Bacterial small subunit ribosomal RNA", at positions 524 to 776 of the family's 1533-position model. The record is from RNAcentral.